RNAcentral lists this ribosomal RNA (468 nucleotides) under uncultured bacterium. Its description in RNAcentral is "partial 16S ribosomal RNA". It matches the Rfam family "Bacterial small subunit ribosomal RNA", at positions 28 to 507 of the family's 1533-position model. The record is from RNAcentral.
GACGAACGCUGGCGGCGUGCUUAACACAUGCAAGUCGAACGGAAAGGCCCUGCUUUUGUGGGGUGCUCGAGUGGCGAACGGGUGAGUAACACGUGAGUAACCUGCCCUUGACUUUGGGAUAACUUCAGGAAACUGGGGCUAAUACCGGAUAGGAGCUCCUGCUGCAUGGUGGGGGUUGGAAAGUUUCGGCGGUUGGGGCUGGACUCGCGGCUUAUCAGCUUGUUGGUGGGGUAGUGACUUACCAAGGCUUUGACGGGUAGCCGGCCUGAGAGGGUGACCGGCCACAUUGGGACUGAGAUACGGCCCAGACUCCUACGGGAGGCAGCAGUGGGGAAUAUUGCACAAUGGGCGGAAGCCUGAUGCAGCAACGCCGCGUGCGGGAUGACGGCCUUCGGGUUGUAAACCGCUUUCGCCUGUGACGAAGCGUGAGUGACGGUAAUGGGUAAAGAAGCACCGGCUAACUACGUG